UAGGAUAGGAUAAGCAUGGUUCGCAUCGCACUCCUUUGGCUUUGGGCGUUCCUCCUGUUCCACGUGUAGCACCGUCGUGUGCCUCCCCUCCACGAUCGAAAUAGACCCGCCGGCAGCGCGGGUGCUACUCCCCUAGGGCUUGUCCAGUAGUGCAAGCGUGGGCUCGAGCCUCGUGCUCUGUCCCUCCCAGUCUCUCCGGCAAUUGGCAAAGAAUCCUCUCGCUUCCGCGGCACCCCAUUGGCAAGACUUGGAGCCGUGCGGCCGCGGACAGGCAAAAUCUUGGCGUGGGGAGUACGAAGAAUCGGAGCUUGCUUGGCAUCGUCAUGGAGGAUCCAUCCAACCCGAUCUGGGCGGCAACUGCCAGUGCCAGACAUGGAGGAACCAUCCAACCACCAUGCCCGAUGGAUCCGCAGCAGAAAGUCCGCAUCCCCGCAGAGAUCUCGUGAAUCCGAGCAUGAAGUCUCUCACAGAAACGAAGCUCCUUUCCAGAGCAAACCUCCCUAUUGGUCACACUAUGUGCAGCUAUGGUCAACGUUCUCAGGAGCUACCUGACUGGAGAUGGAGAGAUUUUGUAUGAUAUUCCCGUGCCAUCCUUUAGUUCAGCUCAUGUUUCAAUUAAAAUCUCUUCAUGCUUGCCGAUGUUCAUGUAACGACUUUACAUUUUAGUGACUACGAUUCAUGUAGGUUCUGUUGCAUGCACCAUUACCAUGCCUUGGGAGUACUACCUCCGUCCGGGUUUAUUAGGUCCGAGUAGUGAGAAGUAGUGUUGUAACGAGGUAUAUGUAAACUUAUGGUGGAGGCAUUCCUUGCCUUUCUUCUUUAAUAUAUAAUGUGCACAUUCGUGCAUAUUCGAGAAAAAUAAAUAUUUUGAGCCAAACUUUCAUCA
Aegilops tauschii subsp. strangulata is the source of this 886-nucleotide long non-coding RNA. RefSeq lists it as uncharacterized. Lineage: Eukaryota; Viridiplantae; Streptophyta; Magnoliopsida; Poales; Poaceae. The record is from RefSeq and is a predicted model, not a curated record.